AUUGAACGCUGGCGGCAUGCCUUACACAUGCAAGUUGAACGGUAACAGGUUAAGCUGACGAGUGGCGAAAGGGUGAGUAAUGUAUCGGAACGUGCCCAGUCGUGGGGGAUAACGUAGCGAAAGCUACGCUAAUACCGCAUACGAUCUACGGAUGAAAGCGGGGGAUUGCAAGACCUCGCGCGAUUGGAGCGGCCGAUAUCAGAUUAGGUUGUUGGAGGGGUGAAAGCUCCCUAAGCUUGCGAUCUGUAGCUGGUCUGAGAGGACGACUAGCCACGCUUGAACUGAGACACGGUGCAGACGCCUACGGGAUGCAACAAUGGGGAAUUUUGGUCUAUUGACGCAAGUCUGAUCCAUCUAUGCCGCUUGCAGGUCGAAGGCCUUCGGGUUGUAAACUGCUUUUGUACGGAACGAAACGGUGAGCUCUAAUACAGUUUGCUAAUGACGGUACCUUAAGAGUAAGCAGCGGCUAACUACGUGCCAGCCGCCGCAGUAA
Molecule: ribosomal RNA, 493 nt
Filed under: uncultured bacterium
Lineage: Bacteria
Description: partial 16S ribosomal RNA
Rfam family: Bacterial small subunit ribosomal RNA
Source: RNAcentral